GUUGAGAACUGAGGAAUUACUUUGAUCAACAUUCAGAGCCGUAGUGGACUCUGAAAUAGCACCCGACUUGAACUUAGGUUUUGGUUUAGCAUGAAUUCCAGUGUACAGCCUGGCAUGUCUAGCAUACUCCUCAUAAUUUUCAAGCAGCAUUUUGCCAGCCUGUUCAUUUAAAGCCGAUUCUGGAAACGGUUCAAUCAAUAAACAUCUCACUACAAUGAGAACAUGCCGUAGUCCAAGACUUGGAUUCCAGUCCUUUUUUAGCGUAUUGACACAAAUCUCACCAUUUGUUGCAAUGUUUGGAUGGAAAAUCUUUGUCAGGAAGUACCCUUUAGGAGGAGAGUGUGGGAAGUCACGAGACAAUAACAGCUUCAUACGAAAAA
Molecule: unclassified non-coding RNA, 380 nt
Filed under: Hevea brasiliensis (rubber tree)
Lineage: Eukaryota; Viridiplantae; Streptophyta; Magnoliopsida; Malpighiales; Euphorbiaceae
Source: RNAcentral